GGCUGCAAGCUAGCGUGAGGAGGAGGGUGCAGAGCAGCACUGUCUCCGCCCACGACUUAGAGGCGAAUUGCUAAUAAGUUAGUGGAAAAGCCCUUGAAAAUGACUCAGGUAAUGCGAUUUUGGCUAAAAACUCUAUAAUCACAAUUUAAUGACCACUUGGAACACUUUAAGGAGUAAAAAAAAUAAAUAAAUAGACUCAUUCACACCACAUUCAUAAUGGUAGAGGCAGCUAAAGCACAGACCAGUCCUAAUCCCAUCCACACACCACUUGCACAGCCACAGAAGGGGUUUUUAGGGUUAACUCUACAGCAAAUCAAGCACCAAACUUCUAACUAAACAACAACUGACCACCCAAUUCUCUUUGAAUCAACAUUUUGUGUCAGCUUGUCUGUGGCUUUAGCCAGUAGUGGUAAUAAGCAACUACUUGGCGAGGGGACCCUGCUCUGAAUAUUGGUAUUCAAAUUUGCUUAUCCUGACAGAGUUCACAUGUCUGUCUGUCUGUCGUUAUUUGCCAGUGAAGAGACGGCUGAGCAAAAGAGUGACUAAAGCAUGCAAUGUCAGCAGUUUAAAGGGCAUAUCACUGGUCUGGUGAAUGAGCUCAGCCUGACGAAAAUGCUCUUUCUCCACCAGUCAAUCUAUUUUCCAAUACUUACCUCUGGUCACAGGUUGUUACCGAAUGACAGGCACAAGUGGUCAUAAAGUGAAUUUUCUUCCUAAGAUGGGUGUUACUAACCUUUAGAAAAUGGCAAGAAGCUCCAUCAAAAAGAAGCUUGGGGUAGAUGUGCUUUUCAGUCAUAUUAAAAGAGCCAAUGCAGCACAUGGAGUGCAGCGAUCUGACAGCGGACCCUGCUGGAUACCUCUGGUUUGGAUGUUGAUACUGUACUGGGAUGAGAUCCUUCCAUCAAUAAGGGGUUAUAAAGUCAUAACUCCAUUAAAUCCCACAGGAGGAGAUAUGAGACAUGACUGAACAAAUGGAUGCCCUUCAACCUGAACCUGUUAGGUCAACAAGAAAGGCACUUCUUGAUGGUUAUGUAAUGGUGGUGGUGAUGGUGGGAGGGUGCAACAAUUGAUUAGAGGUUUUAUGUUACAAUGUCUUAGAAUCCCUUUUGGCAGAUGAAAGUGUGCAUACCCACAACUUCAACACAGUAAAACAUUCAACUUUAGUGUCAAAACCAGCUCGUCAUCACACUUCUACCAACAUGGACAGAGGAGCUCUCGUGUCUGCCGUGUUCAUUUAGUGAACAGUCCACCAUUUGAAAAUGGCCUCUUUCACAUCUUCAACAGGAGGAGAGAUGUUAGGGAUGAAGACAGAAUGGUGCAGAGAUGGCAGUGACAGACAUAGGGGACUGAGGGAGGCAUGAAUUAGGGGAUGAUAAAAAUUAAGAUUAAUGAUUUGUGGAGAUGUAUAGGGGAAUAGGGCUGUGGCGAGUUGAAGAUAGGAAUGCUGCUAUAAAAGAGCAGGGGACUAACAAUUACGGGGGUAGGAAGGAGAAAUGGUUCCAGGAGAUUGUUCCUUUGCAUUCAAAGCUUUCGGGAAAGAAAAUUAGGGGCUACAAAGGGGAGUUAGAAAAAAAAGGAAAAAAAAAAACAUAGAGAAUAAAUUUCAUGUGAGUUGUGGUUAAAAACAGCAACCCAGCACAACAAAGAGUACACUACUUUCAGUAUUCAAGCUGAAUUGAUUUAUUUUUGCAUUUUAUUUAUUGUGUAGUAUGUAUAUCCCCAUUUUACUUAGUUGUGACCAUAGACUUUAUCUAGAAUGGACGUUAUCUGCCUCCUUGCUGUGUGAAGCCUCUACGAGAACAGCACCCCCUGGUGACUGGUUGCAGUACAGGUCAUAUAUAUUGCCUCCCCCAGUAAAAUGAAUAGAGCUGUGGACAAACUUUAGAAAUUUAUUACACAUAAUAUAAUUUUUUCUCCUCCUGGUUGCGAUGUUGACUUGUAGUUAUUGUAAGACUGGUUUAUGCUCAAGUCCUCUUUUUUCUGUGCAGCUCCAUUUUUAAAAGUUAUAAGGGGUUCAAAUGUUAAUUUUAGGAAGUGGAGAAAAUCCCAGUAAUACCAAGAGCAGUUUGGCUUCAAAUACAUACAAUGACAGAAGGCAAAGCAAUGUUGUCUUUACUAUAUUCAGUCUAUGAUUAUGCCAUUUCUAUAGUAUAGAAACUAUAUAGAAUAUAGUUGAAAAAGGAUUUGCAAAUGAUUGUAUUCUGUUUUUAUUUACAUUAAACAUCUCAACUUCACUGGAAUUGGACUUUGUAUGUAAUUUUUCUUAUUCACUUGUUUCCAGUCUACUUAAAGCAUAUUAGCAGUUAUGUUACAGCAAAGUAAAACAACACCACCCUGUUAAACACAACCAUGACGACAGCUCCACACAGUCCAGGACUUUUCUCUUCUCUUAUCUCUUCACUACCCUCACCAAUGUUUCCUUUUGUCCUUUUAUUUAUAUAAUAUAUGGAAAUAAACAAAAUGUUGGUAUUAUUUUGUCUGCAAAUCAUUUAGAUGUCUGCUGGUCAUAGCUAAUAGUAUAUGCUAACACCAAUAUUCAUUGUAAAACUGAAAAUUGUAGGUCAACAGCCCAUCUUACUUGAAGAGUGGGGCCUCAAAGGGCUUCCUGCAACCCACCUGAUACCUGUGGAGUUUUUUGGGCCAGACCCACCAUAUUUUGUGAAAUAAAAUUAUCAUUAAGUGGAAAUGCUGACACAGCAUUUUCACUUAUUGUUAUUUACAUUUCCAUUACCAUGUAAGAAAAAAGGUGUACUAAUUAUUUGAUUAAUUUCUCAGUGAAUAUUGUUCAGUGGUCAUCAUUUCAACGCUGCUGGGCCUGGGUGGAGGUUGACUGAACAUGUCAGUUAUUUUAUAACAUUUUGCCCCUUCCUCCUCGAGAGACCUUUUUUUCUUCUCCAUUUCCCUCAUGUCCACCUUUUCUCUUCGUUUUUUCUCCUCUUUUGCUGCCGGGUUUAAAAGGAUGAUCCAUUGUUAUUGAUGUAAUAUUCUUGUAUUUCCAGCGCUCCCUCUCUCUCUCUCGCCCCCCUCUCUCGCCUUGCUCUCGUAUCAUCCCAGCUCGGCGCUCUGUUUGUUUUCCUGUUUAUGCUGUGAAGGGGUGGGCCACGAAUCAUCACACCACACCACCGUUUAACGGAGAUCUGAUAUAAAAUAACAGAGGAAACAUGACCUCAAAAAGUAUAAAACGUCCUGACCACUGUCCACCACACAUCUGAGCAGAGACAUAACUGAUCAAACCUUGAGGAAAAAUCUCUUACCUUCACUCUGAAGUCUGAACUAGUCAGCAUUAUCAGUUAUCCAGCUCUUGCAGUUUAAUAAUCCAUUGAUCCAUCAAUCAAUUGAUCCUGACGCUUCAUAGCCGCUAGCCAGGGUUGGAGAAUCACCGGCCGUUUCGGCAGCAAAUGAUGAAAAUGCAAUGUUUUUUUAUUUCUUACGAUGUAAAAUUGGUUGGAGCAGUCUGGCGCAAGACAAAAUAUCCCUUCUCUAGUGAGUUUACUCGUCUUUGGCUCUUGAUUCGCCAUUUCAGCCAUCCUAAUCUGCUCUCAUUCAAUUGUCAAUACGCGGGCUACACAACCGAUUAUGUCACAUGAAGUGGCACUGCUUUACGGUUCGCCGCAGUGUCGCUAAAGUGGAACUUCUGUCACAGUUUUCUAGAAAUGUAUUACAUUUUGAGAGUCAUGAAUACAGUGAUUUUUGAAGUCGAGAGGCAUUCUUAAAAAUAAUGAUAAUUUGGGUCAGUAUGUCAUGUCCUCUUUAAUCAUCUAAGUUACAGACAUGAACUGUUUUCAAAUUACUUUGUUCUUUCAAACAGCAAAACUUGGCAAAAGUACUAAAUGUCUUAUGUCCCAUGUUUUUAUUCUGUUGGGUCACAGUGGAGCAGUUUCGCUCAGACCAGUCCAGCAGUUUAACUCAAUUGGGUCAGACUGGACUUCAAAUGACAGGCCAGACUGUAAAAGGCAGCAUCAGCACAGACAAGCUUCAGUACAUGGCUGCAGUGUUGAUUGUCAUGUCUAAAUCUUUGCAUCGAAAGAGAAACAAAGGGACCAGUGGUGCAGUUUCUUUGACCUCUGCAUUAUUUAAUGACAAUAAUAAUAAUAAUAAUAAUACAUUUUAUUUGUUAAGCGCUUUUCAAAGACUCAAAGACGCUGUACAUAGCUAAAAUCAUAUAUCAGUAUACAAUAAAAAUACAUCAAUAUACAAUAAAAUACAUCAAUAUCAAUUAAAAUCAAGUAAAAUCAGGUAAAAUCAACAAUCAAGGGGGGGGCUAAGGAAGAUGAAAAGCAGUGCGGAAAAGGUGAGUUUUGAGCUGGGUUUUGAAUUUGGUAAGGUUGGAGCAAUUUCUGAGGUCCAGUGGGAGUGAGUUCCAUAGGGUGGGGGCAGUGACUGAGAAGGCUCUGUCCCCCCAGGUUCGGUGCUUGGUCGAGGGUACUGUGAGGAGGUUGGCAUCGGCGGAGCGGAGGGUGCGGGGGGGGAUGUAGGGGUGGAGAAGAUCUUGCAGGUAGGGGGGGGCCUGGUUGUGGAGUGCUUUGUGAGUGAGAAGGAGGAUUUUGUACUGAAUGCGAUGGGGGAUGGGGAGCCAGUGUAGGUUCUGGAGGACGGGGGUGAUGUGUUGGUGGGAGCGUGUAUGGGUGAGGAGGCGGGCGGCAGAGUUCUGGAUGAGCUGAAGUUUAUUGAGGAGAGUGGAGGUAGUGCCGUGGAGGAGACUGUUGCAGUAGUCUAGACGGGAUGAGAUGAAUGCAUGUAUAAGGGUUUCGGCUGCAGAGUAGGAGAGGGAGGGGCGGAGGCGGGCAAUGUUUUUGAGGUGGUAGUAGGCUGUUUUGGAGAUGUGCUUAACAUGUUGUGUGAAGGUGAGGUUGCUGUCAAAGAGAAUUCCAAGGUUGCGACAGUGGGGGAGUUUGGUACAAAGCUAAAGAAGUGUGAAAUUCAUCUACUCUUUGUGAGCUGUCAAGGAAUUAAAGAAGGGACAUAAUCUACUUUUCCCAGAUUCUAUACUUCCUUUCUAAUUCCACUUUGAUAUCUUUACAUGAUUUUACAGAUAAAAAAAGGUCUUGAAAUAUCAUUAAUUCAGCCUCUGUCUGAAACACUUCAUUUGCUUUGCCAGAAGCUCAAAUGAACCAGUGAAGAGAGUCUUUAACACUGACCCAGUCAUGUUCGUAAGCCUCAUGUUUCUUCGCAAGGGCUCAUUUUGAAGAGUUUACAUCUAUUUUUUAGUAUUAUGACAAAAUACAUUUACUUUGUGAUUUUAAAACUUUCCAUACAACUAGUGGGGACACCAAACUUUGUAACAUUACAGUUUUUGUUUUAAAUGUGGAAAAGCAUCAUACCACCCCUUUAACAUUACAUCUUUCAUCAUCAACUACUCCAAAGCAGUUCAAAUUUGCUCUACUUUGGCAGUGUAAUAUUCUCUGUGUACCAAAAAAGGGAAUUUGGUGCACAGGACUAGAGGGGGAAUCAACCUACCCACACCAAGUUGAUUAAUUUGGUGCAUGACAGUCAGAUGGGAUGUGCAACUCUAAUCCCAUAAACCUCUCAUCAAAUCCAGGGAAUGACUCUCCAUUGUCUGCUUGCUGUUGCUUCAGAGUGUGCACUGAAAAACUGUGUGGUAAUGGAACUCAGGCCCAGCCCUGGUAAACAAGCAACAAUUAAACUGUUCAGCUGAGCACCAAUACACAUUGUAGUUAAUAAGCAGCAAGUAGCACUUAUACUCUGGACUCCAACCUUCUUCUCUGUCUGAACUCUGUGUUGCCCCACAUCUUAACCGCAGUGUCAUUGUCCCUCUGAAGAGUAUUCUCCCAUGAGUCACAGGUUAAGAGUCAUCACCAUGGAUAUGUAGAGCAAUUAUUCUGAAGCUGGGGCCCUGCAGAGACUUUGGUCUUUAUGCAAAAAUAUCACCACCUCACUACCUAAAACCACAAUAAUGAACUGUCCUAAUUAACCAUAAUAAUAAACCACUGUGAACUGUUCUACCAGAGACAACAAAACCCUGGAUCUGCUGUAUGUCAACGUCAAAGAAGCCGACAGAGCCACUGCCUUACCACCACUGGGCAAGUCAGAUCAUAACUUGGUCUAUCUGCAAACCUGUUACAGACCUUGUGUGCUGAGGCAGCCUGUGACCAAAGUCAAAAUCAGAAGAUGGACACCUCAAGCUAGCGAAGCUCUAAGGGACUGUUUUAAAUCAACAGACUGGAAUGUGCUGCUGGAAACAGAUGUUGAUAGUAUGAAUAUUGACAAACAGGUUGACUGCUUUACAGAAUAUGUCAACUUCUGUAGAGACACAGUUAUACCCACAAAGACUGUUUGCUGUUUCCCCAACAACAAACCCCGAAUCACAAGUGACAUAAAAGCAAUCCUUAACAAGAAAAAGAAAGCUUUUAAAGAUGGUGACAAAAAACGACUCAAACAAGUGCAACAAGAGUUGAAGAGGAGACUGAAGAUGGUUGAGCUGGAGUACAAAAAGAAGAUAGAGAAGAAUCUACAACAUAGCAACAUCCGUGAAGUGUGGAGAGGAAUCAGUAACAUCUCUGGACACAGCAAUAAAAAGAAAAGACAGCCAGUGGUGGGUGAUCUGGAAAGAGCAGAUGAACUCAACCUGUUCUUUAACAGAUUUGACACUGCUGUCACACCCACUUCCACAACUUCUCCCCUUCCUCCUCCAUCUCAUUCCGAUGUCUCAACCAUUUCAACUACCUCCUUCCUAGACCGCCAGUCCUUGUCUGUCACCGAAACAGGGGUGAGGAUGGAGCUUGGAAGACUUUGUCCUGGGAAGGAAGCUGGUCCAGAUGGUGUGUGUCCAAGGCUGCUUAGAGACUGUGCUGCAGAACUGUGUCAACCUCUCCACAGGGUCUUCAACCUGAGUCUACAGCUGGGGUGGGUACCUGCUCUGUGGAAAACAUCCUGCAUUGUGCCAGUACCAAAAACAAAAUGUCCCGCUGAGCUCAAUGACUACAGACCAGUGUCACUUCACACAUCAUGAAAACCCUGGAGUGGCUGUUUUUACGCCUUCUGAUAAACUCAAUUUCCUGCAGUUUGCAUACAAAGAACACAUUGGAGUGGAAGAUGCUGUCCUCUAAAUGCUUCACUGUGCCCCGUCUCAUCUGGAGGAACAUGGGGUUUAUGCAAGGAUCAUGUUUUUCGACUUUUCAAGUGCAUUCAACUCCAUCCAACCCACCAUACUCAAAGACAAGCUCACAGAGAUGGGAGCGGAUCCUGCCUGUGUUUCCUGGAUCGCAGAUUACCUGACAGGAAGACCACCGUUUGUCAGGCUGGGGAACUGUGUUUCUCGGACAUUAAUGAGAAGUACAGGGGCUCCACAAGGGACAGUGCUGGCGCUAUUCCUGUUCACACUGUAUAUGUCAGACUUCAAAUACAGCACUGAGUCCUGCCACAUCCAGAAAUACUCAGAUGACACCGCUAUUGUGUAUCAGAAAUGGACAAGAAGCUGAAUACAGAAAUCUGAUAAAAGCCCUCAGUGACUGGAGUCACAAAAACUGCCUCCUCCUCAACACCUCAAAGACCAAGGAGAUGGUCAUAGACCUCCGUAGAUCCAAACCCCCUCUUCAGCCUGUGGAAUGCACAUCGAAGUGGUGACAUUAUAUAAAUACCUAGGUGUACAGUUGGAUAAUAAGUUGGACUGGUAUAAGAAUGUAGACUUCAUCCACAGAAAGGGUCAGAGCUGCCUCUUUUGCCUGAGAAGACUCCGAUCGAUAGACAUCUGGAGUAAGAUGCUGCAGAUGUUUUAUCAGUCUGUGGUGUCUGUAGUGUUCUGUUCUACGCUGCAGUCUGCUGGGGAGGAAGCAUCAAACACAAAGAUGCAAGACGUCUGAACAAACUGGUGAAAAAGGCUGGCUCUGUGGUAGGACUUAAGCUGGACUUAGUGGAGGAUGUGAUGGAGAGAUCGACAUCGAGGAAGGUAGAGACUAUUCUAAAGAACAUGGAUCACCCACUUCACAAAACCUUGAUGGACCAAAGGGGCAAGGGUGGUGGACGGCUCCUCUCUCUUCGCUGCAGGACAGAGAGAUUCAGAAGAUCUUGUGUGCCCACACCUAUCAGACUUUAUAAUUCUUGUGUAAAUAGUAGAUAACUUUUAGAGACAUAUCAAUUGAGACAACAGACCAUUGAAUUUCCCUUUGGGGAUUAAUAAAGUUCUUCUUAUUCUUAUUCUUAAUCUUAAUCCUAAGAACAUAACACUGUAGACACAGAUGCAUUAAUCUGCAUAUAAUUAAAGUCACUCUUUGAUUAUUUGAUGCAAGACUGAUACAAAAUCAGGUGAAGGUUAUUUCUACAGUUUAAAUAUAAUCUUAAUGAACUUUCCCAAAAGACAGUCCUUUCUGACUUCAAGCUCUUGUGAGGAGAGCUUGAAGCUCUUGCUGAUCCCGACUGUCCCAUCCUCAAACAUUGUCUUUGUCAUGAACUUCUCCUGCUGGCCUUUGACUUUUAAAUGUAAAACUAGAUGUGAAUAUUUGAUGUAAGAAUUGUAGAAAUAGGGGUGUUGCCUUGGUGACUUGGCUGACACAUUUUUUUGCACUUGCAUUUGACGAAAUACAAUAAUUAAAUAAUACUUAAGUAAAUAGAUAAAAUUUAAGAAAAACAAACAACAACGUAAAUAUCAGGGUUAAAAUAAAAAUUAAGUCAUGUGCAGAAUCCUCAUUCCAUACGCAUUCAAAUGGAAUAGACAUGUCUGUUUUAGCCAGUGUUUGGUUGUAAACAUGUAUUGGGUUAUGCUAUAGAUUGCUAAAUACAGUCAAUAUUGCUGUCAGAUAUCGGCUCUGUGAUGCCAAUAUGAUGCAGAUUAUGCAACAAUACCAAUCUGCCCUAAUUGGUGUAUGCCAAGUUAUAAGAUGAAUACUAUCAGAUAUGUUGUAACUAAAGUCAGGGGAGAAGAAGUUUAGUUCAUCAUGGGGUCAUCAGAUUUAUUUCCAACACCUACAGGAAAAACCCAACUCAGUGAGAAGUAGCAGCACCACCAGACUCUACAAAGAUGAGGAAAUAAUUACUGAUGGCAAAAAAAAAAAUGUGAUGCAGUUUCUUCCCAACUGUCAGGAAGGACUUGCACUUGGUUUCAGUGCUAGCCUGGACCAUUUAACGUAAUUAGAAGGAAAUAUCUUUAUUUAUUGGGGAAAAAACCCCACAAACAAUAGUAAUAUGAGAAUUCAAGAAAAUAGAAACCUAACACUAGACUCUUUCGUGUAGGAAUAAAAAGUUACAAAAGUAAAAGGAGGUUUUUAGUGCCAAAAUCUAGGAGUUAAAGUUAUACUUUGAGAUAGACAUUUUGGCAAAUAUCCAGAACCACUGACAUUUUCCUUGAAGCUCAUGUACAUGUCUAACUUGAUUUAACUUGAAGAUAUACCCAAAGCCUUUUUCAAAUUUAAUCAAUGUGACAUAGAUGGAGGGGAAAUCACAUUAAAACACAGGAUUAAUUUCAUAUUAGGCCUUGAGUUUUGUUUUUUUUAAAACCUUUUUUCUGUAGUUCAUAUCAGAAUUACACCCAAAGUGAGCAGCCAUCCAAUUUCUUUAAAAUAAUGAAAUAACAUAAUUAUGUCAGGUGUUAGGGUAAUCCAUAUCUACAGUACGUCAUGCACGUUCUGUGCUUAUGUCAACCCAUUUCUUCAUCCAGUCAGGCCCUGCUGUUCUGUGUUGAACUAUCCAUCUGAAAUGUGUGAGAAACACUUAUAUGUCAAGUUCAGCGGUGGGGAGAGAAUCUACCUGACAACAAAUUAAUGAAAAUGUCACUGACUUGCACCUCCAUUUCUUAUUUUCAAGAAUGCUCCACUGAGCACAUUAACAUAGAGGCUGAGACGCUUUCACUCGUCUCUUUAACCCCCCUGAUUCAGGAUUUUUUCAUUCCUAUUUCUCUCUCUUCUAAUUAUUGCAUGCAUGUCAGUGCUCCCUGUUUGAACCCUGCACACCUGUUUGAUUAAAAGGUAUAGCAGGGUCUGUGUAACACUUUGAAUGAUCUUUUACUCUAUCUUGACAUAGCAAAGCCAUGACCCUGUGAAGCCAGGGACGGCGGGUUAAUGGGAGCCUUGACAGCCAAGCCAUUCCAUCAGCAGUGGUAGUCUGCCGAAAAGGUCAACUUCCAGCCCAUACGGCCAACCAGACGGAAAUGUCAAUGUUGGAGAGGGGGAAGUAAGGGAGGACCUUUCUGUUGAAAAUGAGGUGAAUGUAUAUUUCAUAUCUGUGCUGAGUUAAAGUUGAAUUAUUCCAGUGAUAAUAGUUUUCAAAAUCACAUAUACAAACAAAAGUAUAAGCAUGGUGGUUCAGAGGAUAAGCCAUGGCCUUUUCUGUCUGGAGUUGGAACCACAAUGGAAAUGUCAUUCAACUCACUGUGCAUUUACCCUGAAGCUAUCAGAAUCAACAGUCACAGGGAGACCAUUCAUUUCCUCUUUUGUUUUUUUUAAGGCUAGCUCAGAGUGUGUGAACCCUCACACACAUUCAUAUCUCUUGACUGAUGUGACCACAUUUGAUUAAAAACUUUGUAAACAGAUUCUGUGGCCUUUAAACGUUGUGUUUGUUGAUUGUUUUUUCUAAUAAAUCUGUUAUUGUGAUUUGCAGAGCACCAAAUAAGUCAAAUGGACAUUUAUAAAAAGCAAAAAAUUCACCUUUUUUUAGAAAGAUUUGUGGUGAAUCCAGAAACAAUGUUCGAGCUGGUCACUAAUCAGUUACAUAUUUCUACUUCCCAAUGUUUGCUUGAUUGCUUUUAUUUGGUUGAUAAAAUAGUUUCCAUAAUUCUGCAGUAAUAUCAUUACAGUAAUAUUUUAUGGCCCCAAUAAUUGUGAGGUGAAAAUCUGAAAUCACAAUGGUGAUUGUUCAUAUUGUAUCAACUGGGGAGCCUGACUGGUCCAAACCUGCUGAAACAGAACUGAGACAGAAGCUCUGCAGGCAUCGUCUUUACCACAUGGUUUGGUUUUUUGAACUUUUUCCCCGCCAUUGACAAGAUAUCCCGUCAAUGCUUGCUUUCACUGCAAUUUGACAGGUGGUGCUGUGGUUUACCUUGUGGAGCAGAAAAGCAAUCCUGACUUGAUCAACAAGACAAGAAGCUCCAUGAAGAAUGGAAAAAAGACAGGUGCAGUUAGAGAUGAGAGGGGUGAAGUACUUCUAAAUCAGCAAAAAAUCCGACUCAGACCAUACGUUGUCAUGGGGACUGCACCAGAGCCUAUUAAUAGCUGUAUUAAUAUUCAUAUGGAACAAAGCAGAGGGCUCCACUGAUACUUAUUUAUUAAUGUAACAACUUCAACUGAGCUGUCAUCAUCCUUUGUCUGAACAGGAUGGGAUGCAGCACAGAUAAAUAGAUAUUAAAAUCAUAUGUCACAUGUCAGUGCUAUCAUAUUAGUAUCCUAUUGAUGUUCUGCUUAGAAAUGGCAAAAAUACUUAUUUCUUUGAAAAAAAUGUGAUUUUCUCAGCUUUUCAGUGUUGUUUCGUUCCAGACGAUUUGUUCAUCAGAACCAAAUCUUUUAAGUGAACGUACUGAAACGAAUCACUCCCUCAAUUGAUUCGUUCAUUUCCCACUUCAGUUGAGCAGCGCAGCUGUUAUAGCGCACCUGAAUCACUUGGUAAACAAAUAACACAUUGAACUACACUCUCUGGAAUCAUUUUUGUUGGACAAAAAUAACUUUUUUUUUUUUUUUUUUUUUUACUGCUAAAUUGCCACUACAACAACUUACAUACAAUAGGACACAGCAUGUAACAAGUAGUGCAUAAAACCCACAGCAUCCUAUCAUUGCAGCAGUUUGCAAGGAAACGGUGCAUGUUCAGUGUGAAUUCUUCUAAAUGUUAAGUGAACGAAUCACUCACUGAGCCCAAUUUACUGAGCAGACAUGAUAAAUAGCAUACCAUAGUACAGUACACUUAAAACAUCAUGACUUAUAAACAAGUCCAUUUUUACGAAUCUAUUUGUCAAAGCAA
Non-coding RNA from Xyrichtys novacula (pearly razorfish), 11898 nucleotides. Lineage: Eukaryota; Metazoa; Chordata; Actinopteri; Labriformes; Labridae. The record is from the annotation of a GenBank genome assembly.